AUACAGGGGGUGCGGGCGUUAAUCGGAAUUACUGGGCGUAAAGAGUACGUAGGCGGUUGCUUAAGUCAGAUGUGAAAGCCCCGGGCUCAACCUGGGAACUGCAUUUGAAACUGAGUGACUAGAGUUUAAGAGAGGGGAGUAGAAUUCCGGGUGUAGCGGUGAAAUGCGUAGAGAUCCGGAGGAAUACCAGUGGCGAAGGCGGCUCCCUGGCUUAAAACUGACGCUGAGGUACGAAAGCGUGGGUAGCAAACAGGAUUAGAUACCCUAGUAGUCC
Molecule: ribosomal RNA, 274 nt
Filed under: uncultured bacterium
Lineage: Bacteria
Description: partial 16S ribosomal RNA
Rfam family: Bacterial small subunit ribosomal RNA
Source: RNAcentral